AAGAGCCGUAUGAUGGAGACCAUCACGGACGGUUCUGUGAGAAUUUCGGGUUGAAAUACCUGGGUUUACUCGAU
RNAcentral lists this non-coding RNA (74 nucleotides) under Pedobacter suwonensis. The record is from RNAcentral. Lineage: Bacteria; Pseudomonadati; Bacteroidota; Sphingobacteriia; Sphingobacteriales; Sphingobacteriaceae.